RNAcentral lists this ribosomal RNA (468 nucleotides) under uncultured bacterium. RNAcentral's name for it is "partial 16S ribosomal RNA". It matches the Rfam family "Bacterial small subunit ribosomal RNA", at positions 28 to 507 of the family's 1533-position model. The record is from RNAcentral.
GACGAACGCUGGCGGCGUGCUUAACACAUGCAAGUCGAACGGAAAGGCCCUGCUUGUGUGGGGUGCUCGAGUGGCGAACGGGUGAGUAACACGUGAGUAACCUGCCCUUGACUUUGGUAUAACUUCAGGAAACUGGGGCUAAUACCGGAUAGGAGCUCCUGCUGCAUUGUGGGGGGUGGAAAGUUUCGGCGGUUGGGGAUGGACUCGCGGCUUAUCAGCUUGUUGGUUGGGGAGUGGCUUACCAAGGCUUUGACGGGUAGCCGGCCUGAGAGGGUGACCGGCCACCUUGGGACUGAGAUACGGCCCAGACUCCUACGGGAGGCAGCAGUGGGGAAUAUUGCACAAUGGGCGGAAGCCUGAUGCAGCAACGCCGCGUGCGGGAUGACGGCCUUCGGGUUGUAAACCGCUUUCGCCUGUGACGCAGCGUGGGUGACGGUAAUGGGUAAAGAAGCACCGGCUAACUACGUG